RNAcentral lists this long non-coding RNA (985 nucleotides) under Triticum aestivum (bread wheat). RNAcentral's name for it is "long non-coding RNA (TAES_LNC007788)". The record is from RNAcentral. Lineage: Eukaryota; Viridiplantae; Streptophyta; Magnoliopsida; Poales; Poaceae.
ACGUGUUAGUCAACAGUAUUGUGCAUUUGCUUGGCGACUUUGCACUGUAGUUACAUAUCACUUGCUAAAUAAAAAAUGUUAUUCACUUUUCUGUGUUUUGUUGAAUAAUUCUCAUGCUUUCUUUUGUGAGGGCUACAAAUCAUAGUGCUUAAAAUACCGAUGUGUGCGUCAUACUUGAAUUAAAAAAGUUACAUGAGAAAGUACCCCUAUUCCAUUACUUUGAGAAGUACAGGUACACAUUUCUAAAUAGUACAGUGCAUGACCGGUGCUCGCCCUGCAUAAAUGGAGCCUUCAGCUCACCAUGCUACCUCCUGCCGGUGGGGCUCCGUCGCUGCAUCGCCCCUCGCCGUUCACUUCCACCAACCUAGGCCGUUCAACAAGACAUCGCCAAGCCGUUCAACGCCGCAGCUCAAGAGACUGCAUCCUUUCCCUCCCUCCACUGCGCUGAACCUAAAGGUAUUGUUCAGCUUUAAUUUUGUUCUUAGCUUCAUGAGACAGAGCUUUUUCUCAAUAGUUGUAUGAAUUUUUGCAUGUCCAUGGAAGUAGAAGAAAGCAAACAUCAGUCCAGCUGGUAGACGUGGAAGUGAUUUUUGAAUCUAAAAUCAUAUGUGCUUUUCUGUAACCUAUAUAAUUUAUGUUUGUUCAGACUUCUUGUUUCUCUAAAGCGGCCAAAUCCCGGUGCACCUGGUAGUUCAAACUUACACCAGAUGGCCGGUGACCAACUUCCCUACCUCUACAAGCUCCUCGAGGAUGACUUGGUGGUAGCUGGGAUCCCCUAAAGCGGCCAAAUCCUGGUGCACCCAGCUGCCGCUCGUGAUCGCCUCUCCUUUAGCUCCACUUCGUGGCACUGUCAGUCCACAGGAGUAGGGGCAGGUGCCCAUCAACAAAAAGGAACAAACGGUAUAUGCUUGGAAACUUAAAAUUCUAUACACAUUUGGGAAACAGAUGUUAUAGCUUCUUUCAAAGUUCAAAACUGAUGGUACAG